UCUCGAUCAGUGGUGUUUUUCCGAACCUCUUGAUCGGAUAGUGCCCGAAGCGUGUCUGUUCAAGUAGUAACGAAAUAUAUGAAUAUAGAUGAAGUUAAACACUGACAGAAAUAGGAAUUUUCAUUUAUAUCAUUUGAGUUGAAACGAUUACAUGGUUAAAACAAGAACGACAUAACUAUUACUGGUAAAAUUUUCUAAGUCUUCCAGCAUGCCAUGUAUUCUUUACCUCCGAACCGUCCAU
RNAcentral lists this long non-coding RNA (241 nucleotides) under Panax ginseng (ginseng). RNAcentral's name for it is "long non-coding RNA (PGIN_LNC002178)". Lineage: Eukaryota; Viridiplantae; Streptophyta; Magnoliopsida; Apiales; Araliaceae. The record is from RNAcentral.